CCGCCUCUAGUACGAGCCUUUUCGACCAACCAUGGAGGGCAUCUACUCUUCAUAGCCUUGAUUGUCGACUUCCUCAUAAUCAUACUCCACUUCUGUAUAACCGAAGUCGUUAAAAUGACCAGACUCAUCAUAAGUACCAUUCUCUAUCGCCUCGGAGUUCUCAUAACUCUCUUGCUCUGAAAAACAACAUAAGUGCAGCUGAGUACGUAUAAAAUACGUACUUCACAAGUCGCCGGGAAAAGUGGAUGUAUGAGUUUUUAAAGAGGAAAAACUUCAUCGGCCACGGCUACCACCACCGAGCCAUUAUCUCAAAAUACUAUGUAGGUAAAAAUAUUUUCCCUUAACCCAUUUUGUUGAAAACCAAAUUUUAUUCAUAAAAUCUACUAGCGACAGAGCGACGUGGGAUCUUAUAUCCUGUGUUAGAGGAAAACCUACACGACGCACUUCCAAUCCUGGAAGCUGGGAGUGAUAUUACAUUUACUCUGAUCAGAGGUGUACUGCUUUGCCCAUAGCAUCACUUGGUACAAGUCGUCCAUGCGCUACCCGUGCGCACGACUAGACCAAGGAACCAGAACCUUUAACCAACCCGUACACUACCUCUGCUUUUCCACCUUGCCUUACUAAAGGCCCGCGGGUCGAGACCCCUGACCGGCGGUCCCGCCCUAGGGUGACUGUACCUACCCGGCUACAGCCACCUUCUCACCCAUGCAGACGCAGCUACUUGGCAUGGGUAGUCGGUUCAGCCCGUCCCAUUCCAGGUCUAUGGUCAGUACGAUUUGCACCACUUUUGAAGUAAGUGCCAGUUGGUUGUGUCCUAAUGUGAUACCCUAUGUAGAGGAGCCCGCCAUCCAAGCCAACCCUACCCGGGUUGCCUUCACCAACAUAAGCUCCCCUACCCACCAAAUAUUUAUUUAUAAUGUAGCCCUGCCCAGGUCACAACUACUUAAUGCAGAUACUUCACCUGAUCUGGUCCAAUUGCCAAAUUAGUGGAUCCACCUGAUCCAAAUCUCAUUUCAUUUAUGAAAAAUAUUUAUUUUUAAUUCUUAUGCAAAAUUUUAGAAAUGACCCAUAGCCCGGAAAACAUUUAUCAAGACAUGGUCAAGGAGAUGACGACUUGCCGGAUAGUGCUUCGAUCAACUCGGAACCACUAGACGUGGCUCCUACGGGUCCGAGAUCGACUCCUGAUAAUUAUUUCAGGAACAUGUUUAUAUUAUUAUUUAUUUUCCUAAUUAAAAAUCUAACAUCCAGCAACACGGCCAUGUUGAGCAAGCCACAUGUAAUUAACUAAGUGGUGAUACGUCCUAGUGUUCCAUUGAGAGAUAAAAUGCAUUAAGCCAUCCAAAACAGAGUAGCAUGCACGUAUGUCAUCCAGUCCAGAGAGUGGUAAAAGAAAUGAUAAGUAAAAAGAACAGUAGCCCAGUACUGUACUACUAGUACUUCGCUGGUUAAGGCCCGUGUCUAUCCAGAGAGACUACUUAACUUCUCGUUGUCCCACGAACAGAACCAGCCCACUCACCUCUCUCUCUCUCCCCCAAGAACAGAGCACGGCCGCCGUCGCCUCGAUCUGCCCCGUCCGGGCAUCUCCGGCGACACGACAGAUACCUACAGAUUCUCCUUGUCUCCCUCUACCAUAUCCCCCUAUUUAUUUGAUCCGCCGCCGCCAAAAACGUCGCCACCACUCAAUCCUAGCACCGCCUGAUCCAGGUCCGGUGGGCUUGCCACCGGCUGCAGCGGCAACGACGUCUCCAUGCCUACAUCUUCCUCCAGCAGAGCUGCACGCAUGAGGCGUGCAACUACGGCCGUCAGGUGCGAGCGGCUUCACCGGCGCGGCUCCGGCAACAUGGCCGCUACCAGCGCCCGGCUCGCCUUUGUCUACUGCUACUAGUGUAAGUGCCAGUCCAAAUUCCUCUCUGUGCAUCGUUCUUGCUUCUACUACAAGUGUUUGUGCCGUGACUCCCCUUACUGCCAUGCUUCUUGUUAAUCUCAAGACCAAGGAAUUAAUCAAGCUUUACUCUUGUGGUGUGGACGUGGUCUGCAGAUUUGCUCCAUAUUGUUUAUCAUUAUUUUUGGCUGUACUAUGCUAUCCCUGCACUACUAUGAUUCUUUUUAUUAAGCUCAAAACUAGGAAUUAACCAGUGAAUCCCCACUGUUAAAGGCUUACUACAAAUCUAUGGGUGGCAAGUUAAUUGCUUGUGAUGGUUAGGUGCUGCCACAAAUUAAAUCUAAGUAUUCCUACUGUGUGUGCGCGCACACUCCUCUCUGAACCCCACAAACAACCAAGUGAACAGCAACAUUGAUAGACUCAAAUUAUACUAAGGGAAACCGGAAAAAAAAUGAGUGAGAUAUUCUAGCAAGAUUUCAUUUGUGCAAAAGUUAAAUGGGUUAUUUUCCGGUACAGGGUAUGUGCAAGUGAGACAUACCAUCUUGAGAUUUAUUUCUUAACAGAACAUUAACCAACCAAUGUUUACUGAAAAUGAUAGUGGUCAAGUAGCAUACACAGAUUGUCUGGCCCCAAAGCUACACAUGCAAUCUUAAUAAUGGGUUAAUUUCUAAGAUUUAAUUCUUAGCAUGUCAGAUCUAAUACAAGGUAGAGAUGAACACAAACAUAGAUUUUCUUUUACAGCUACACAUGAAUCACAAAACUGCAAUGUCUUUGUUUUCCUCCAUCUACUUUAUGUUUUUUUUCACUAACUAUUGUUUCUCUUUUUACAGAAGGUAACUAGAGUCCAGAAGAUUAGGUGUUCAUGUUCUAAGCAAAGGUAAAGAUGGAUCAAGGUGCCAAGCAUCAAGCAAACAGAGCUGCAAAAGCAAGGUACUUGAAUAGUACCUGAUCGCAACUCGGCAUUCGACCAAAAGAGUGGAUGGGGAUGGUGGGAAGAGCUUGGUUCUCUCUCUUGUGCGUGUUGUGUGCAGUAGAGGAAGUGAAAGGUGAAAGGUGCAUGCUGCUAUUUAUAGUAGUGGAGGAUGCUAUGUCGGUUUGGUAAAAUGGAGCAGGUAGCUGGCAUGCAUGGUUGCAUGCGCAUGCAAGGCUCCACUUGUAAUCAUAUGAGCUGUAGAAUGGACAAGUGUGUAGUGCUUGGUUGGACAUUAGUUGGCAUUUUCUUCAUGCCUAAGUAUAUGGCCUAUUAGUUGUUUGUAAAAUUUUAAUUUUACAUUGGGCUCAAGAAACAUUGUAAAAAGCACAUCAAAGAUUGGUUGUGAUCUAAAUUAAGAUCAAUAUCCUGGAUGUUGUUUGUGGCGAUUCUAAUAUGUAUUUAGCAAUAUGGAUGUAUCCUACUAUCGUCAAAAAGACCGUUAUAUUUGUUUGAGGGUUUUUACAUUGCUUCUUCUGUGUGUAAAAUGAGACAAAGUUCAACUCUAAAUUUGCAAACUAUAAGAAGGUUUGGGGAAGAAACAUUGUAGAAGGCUACAUACUAAAUUUUCGGCUGCAUAUUUUUUUAAUAAUGGUGUUGUCGUUAGUUGUAAUCAUUCAACUGAUUAUGCCUUGU
Molecule: long non-coding RNA, 3488 nt
Filed under: Triticum aestivum (bread wheat)
Lineage: Eukaryota; Viridiplantae; Streptophyta; Magnoliopsida; Poales; Poaceae
Description: long non-coding RNA (TAES_LNC020220)
Source: RNAcentral